GAGUUUGAUCCUGGCUCAGAACGUACGCUGGCGGCACGCCUAACACAUGCAAGUCGAACGAAGUAGCAAUACUUAGUGGCAGACGGGUGAGUAACAUGUAGGUAUCUACCCUAUGGCCUGGAAUAACACGAGGAAACUUGUGCUAAUACCGGAUAAGUCUUUACGGAGAAAGCUUUAUGCACCAUUGGAUGAGCCUGCACUUGAUUAGUUUGUUGGUGGGGUAAUGGCCUACCAAGACUGUGAUCAAUAGCUGAUUUGAGAGGAUGAUCAGCCACAUUGGGACUGAGACACGGCCCAAACUCCUACGGGAGGCAGCAGUGGGGAAUCUUGCACAAUGGAGGAAACUCUGAUGCAGCGAUGCCGCGUGAGUGAAGAAGGCCCUUGGGUUGUAAAGCUCUUUCGUCGGGGAAGAAAAUGACUGUACCCGAAUAAGAAGGUCCGGCUAACUUCGUGCCAGCAGCCGCGGUAAUACGAAGGGACCUAGCGUAGUUCGGAAUUACUGGGCUUAAAGAGUUCGUAGGUGGUUGAAAAAGUUGGUGGUGAAAUCCCAGAGCUUAACUCUGGAACUGCCAUCAAAACUUUUCAGCUAGAGUAUGAUAGAGGAAAGCAGAAUUUCUAGUGUAGAGGUGAAAUUCGUAGAUAUUAGAAAGAAUACCAAUUGCGAAGGCAGCUUUCUGGAUCAUUACUGACACUGAGGAACGAAAGCAUGGGUAGCGAAGAGGAUUAGAUACCCUCGUAGUCCAUGCCGUAAACGAUGUGUGUUAGACGUUGGAAAUUUAUUUUCAGUGU
This 789-nucleotide ribosomal RNA is filed under the name uncultured bacterium. RNAcentral's name for it is "bacterial SSU rRNA". It matches the Rfam family "Bacterial small subunit ribosomal RNA", at positions 9 to 846 of the family's 1533-position model. The record is from RNAcentral.